GACGAACGCUGGCGGCGUGCUUAACACAUGCAAGUCGAACGGUAAGGCCCCUUCGGGGGUACCCGAGUGGCGAACGGGUGAGUAACACGUGAGCAACCUGCCCUUGACUCUGGAAUAACAGUUGGAAACAGCUGCUAAUACUGGAUAUUCAUCGUCUCCUUCCUGGGGGGUGGUGGAAAGCUGCGGCGGUCUGGGAUGAGCUCGAGGCCUAUCCGCUUGUUGGUGAGGUAAUGGCUCACCAAGGCGUCGACGGGUAGCCGGCCUGAGAGGGCGACCGGCCACAGUGUGACUGGGAAACGGCCCAGACGCAUACGGGAGGCAGGGGCGGGGAAUAUUCGACAAAGGGCGGAAGCAGGAUGCAGCAACGCCGCGUGCGAGAUGACGGCUUUCGGGGUGGAAACCGCUUUUAGUAGGGACGAAGGGUGACUGACGUUACCAACAGAAGAAGGACCGGCUAACUACGU
This 464-nucleotide ribosomal RNA is filed under the name uncultured bacterium. Its description in RNAcentral is "partial 16S ribosomal RNA". It matches the Rfam family "Bacterial small subunit ribosomal RNA", at positions 28 to 506 of the family's 1533-position model. The record is from RNAcentral.